UAAAUAGCGUAAUGAAGAGCUCACAUGG
This 28-nucleotide small RNA is filed under the name Bombyx mori (domestic silkworm). RNAcentral describes it as "ovarian small RNA-18442". The record is from RNAcentral. Lineage: Eukaryota; Metazoa; Arthropoda; Insecta; Lepidoptera; Bombycidae.